RNAcentral lists this ribosomal RNA (428 nucleotides) under uncultured bacterium. RNAcentral describes it as "partial 16S ribosomal RNA". It matches the Rfam family "Bacterial small subunit ribosomal RNA", at positions 354 to 796 of the family's 1533-position model. The record is from RNAcentral.
GUGGGGAAUAUUGGGCAAUGGGCGCAAGCCUGACCCAGCAACGCCGCGUGAAGGAAGAAGGCUUUCGGGUUGUAAACUUCUUUGACAGGGGACGAAACAAAUGACGGUACCCUGAAAACAAGCCACGGCUAACUACGUGCCAGCAGCCGCGGUAAUACGUAGGUGGCGAGCGUUGUCCGGAUUUACUGGGUGUAAAGGGCGCGUAGGCGGACUGGCAAGUCAGAUGUGAAAUACAGGGGCUCAACCCCUGAACUGCAUUUGAAACUGUUGGUCUUGAGUAUCGGAGAGGCAAGCGGAAUUCCUAGUGUAGCGGUGAAAUGCGUAGAUAUUAGGAGGAACACCAGUGGCGAAGGCGGCUUGCUGGACGACAACUGACGCUGAGGCGCGAAAGCGUGGGGAGCAAACAGGAUUAGAAACCCCUGUAGUCC